Daphnia magna is the source of this 714-nucleotide long non-coding RNA. RefSeq lists it as uncharacterized. The transcript is spliced from 2 exons. Lineage: Eukaryota; Metazoa; Arthropoda; Branchiopoda; Diplostraca; Daphniidae. The record is from RefSeq and is a predicted model, not a curated record.
UUUUGGCUCUCGCAUCGCCUUGUUUUCGUCUGUCAAGUCCUUUUUUUCCUCUCUCUUUCACGACGUCCGAAACGAUAAGCGAUCUAUACCGCACAAAAAAGAAAAGAAAAGAAAGACUUAGCCGUUCGUCGCCUUCUCUCCUGUCAUCUACCGAAAAAAAAAAAGACUUGUCUUAUGCAAAUGUGUGCGUGCGGUCUUUUUUUUCUAGUAUAUCUCUAUGGUCGCUAGGCUUUUUCAUCCCUAUUGUGUCUAACAUGGUCGACAUGCUCAACUGCGUUUGACCAGUGCCGCUAAACAAUCAUUUCUAUGCUAUUGCCACUAUACGAUGAAAAUCUACUACACCAACUCUCGAUACUUGACUGCUGAAUUCGUGAUUUCCACGUCGAGGAAGAGAGGCAAAGCGGUAGUUCUCCAUGACUACGCCGUUUCCCCGAUAAAAAAUCGAUUAACGAUCGCCGAUAUCCGCACAUGACUUUUCAAACCAAAACAUUGAUUCCUCAACGUCGUUACGAUAAGCUUAAUGCCUUAUAAAAAAAAAUGAAAUCGGAGGAAAAACCGCAUCCUGUUGUUUUAAAAUCGUGUAAUCAAUUGGUCGAUGUCCGCAAAUCGAUUUUUUUUUACUGAAUGGACAUCUUGCUAUUUAUGAUGGCCGUCAUCGGUACCAAAGAUGAGUUUACACUGAAAUAAAGAAGGCCUAUUUCGUGUUAGAUAACA